RNAcentral lists this transfer RNA (74 nucleotides) under Ovis aries (sheep). It matches the Rfam family "tRNA". From Rfam's summary of the family: Transfer RNA (tRNA) molecules are approximately 80 nucleotides in length. Lineage: Eukaryota; Metazoa; Chordata; Mammalia; Artiodactyla; Bovidae. The record is from Rfam by way of RNAcentral.
UCCCUGGUGGUCCAGUGGCUAAGACACUGACCCUCCCAAUACAGAGGGCCCAAGUUCAAUCCCUGACCAGGGAG